UACUUAGGGUGCGAGCGUUAAUCGGCAUUACUGGGCGUAAAGCGUGCGCAGGCGGUUUUGUAAGCCAGAUGUGAAAUCCCCGGGCUUAACCUGGGAAUGGCAUUUGGGACUGCAAGGCUUGAGUUUGGCAGAGGAGACUGGAAUUCCUGGUGUAGCAGUGAAAUGCGUAGAUAUCAGGAGGAAUACCGAUGGCGAAGGCAGGUCUCUGGGCUAGAACUGACGCUCAUGCACGAAAGCGUGGGGAGCAAACAGG
Molecule: ribosomal RNA, 253 nt
Filed under: uncultured bacterium
Lineage: Bacteria
Description: partial 16S ribosomal RNA
Rfam family: Bacterial small subunit ribosomal RNA
Source: RNAcentral